Long non-coding RNA from Gallus gallus (chicken), 1022 nucleotides. The record is from Ensembl. NCBI's taxonomy places the organism in Eukaryota, Metazoa, Chordata, Aves, Galliformes, Phasianidae.
UGAACACUGUAACUUUCUGUGGAUGAAAUUACUGCCACAGCAGUGAGAAGAAGACCUUUAGAAGACUUACUUGUUCACAGCUGAUAGUAUUUCCAGAAUGAAAGACAGGCUCUGGAGAAAAAGGCAGCACCUUCGAAUCUGAAACAGGAACAUCAAAGACUGUCAUCAAAGAGACAGGCUCUUCAAGAAGAACAAAAAGAGACGAAUCACCAAUCACAUCAGAGGGCUGAGCUGAGCAAGUGAAGGACUGGAAAGACAUAUUCUCCCUCAGGAUUUGCAGGAUCCUUCAAGAACCAUGUUGGCCAUCUUACCUAUUUCCUCUCUAGUGCACCUAGAAUAUGAUAGAAACUGCACGUUUAAGGUGUGUUCAUAAUGACUCAGAGUGUGAGGGAGCAGAAGCUGAACUGAGACCACACUCAGGACAGAAGGUGAGCCCAUCUAUUGCAUUGCUGCUGAAACGAUUCUCCAACAGAAAAUAGAGAACAUUUUUAAUUCUGUCUUAUAAAGCACCAUUUUCACACUUUUUUUUUUCUUUAUACUGGAUUAAUGCUACAUACUAAACUCUGAAGACCCUCUUAUGAAAUAUAUUGGCCAUCAGACCAAUUUCCUUACCCACAGAAGAGACACUGGUGUAGUAUCUCUCUGUUCUUGAGCAAUUUGGCAGCUCGCUUAAGGACAAAUACGUGACCAGAGGGUGGCCCUUGAGCCAUGUGCAAUUUAUGCGACUCCUCAGCACAGCUGGAUCCAGAUGUCCCAGCUGUGGGAGCUCCCCUAAGUCCUCAGCUGCAAGAAGAAUUGACCCAGGAGGGACAGUCAACGUCUGCAGCUGAAGCCAAGCCUUCAAGACAACAAAGAAGAGCUUCUGUUGAUUGUGUUGAUUGUUGAUUGUGACCAUGCGAAGAUUUUGGAACCUUGCCUUAAUGUUGGACAUCCUUUGCUCAUAGCAUCAAAAAGCAAAUUACUGCAUAUUUGUCAUACCACAAAUGUCUGCUGCUGCUGACAGCUGCCAUAAUUUUAUGUAC